CGUCGCUCGUGGCGGACGUGUGUCGCGCUUUCUGUUUAUUCCACCCGCUAUCGUUAAUGCCGCCAUAAUCCAACCGUGAAUUUGUUUUUGGUACCGUAAUAUUGUCGGUCACAUCGGUGUUAGUUUAUGACUAUAUAUUCCGGAGAGAAGUGUAACAGUGUUAUUAAAUUCGUUCAAUGCUUCCGUUCGAGUGAAAUGACAUUUUGAUCAACAGCGAUAUAAUGUUCAGUUACUCAAAUUUUAAUGUUGGUGAAAUACAACACUAACUUAGUCGGUGAAUUGGACUGAAAAGCUGCACGAUGUACUCGACAUCCACGGCGUCGACGACAACGUCUGGGUCUCGCGGCGAGCCCGCGGUGGGCCCGAUGGAGCGACGCGUGCGUGUCGUGCGUCUGCUGCGGCCGCGCCGCGCCGCACCUGCAUUCGGUUUCGCUUUGCGCGGCGGCCGCGAGUAUGCCACCGGAUUCUUCGUAUCCAAAGUCGACAUUAAUUCCGAAGCACAUCUGCAAGGAUUAAAGGUGGGCGAUCAAAUAGUGAGUGUGAAUGGAUACCGGGUGGAGGACGCAGUGCACGCCGAGCUCGCGCAUUACCUCACCUCGCAGUCCCGGCUUAAGAUCAAAGUGCGACACGUGGGAAUGAUUCCGGUCAAAGAGAAGGAUCACGAGCCGCUCUCUUGGCAAUUCGUGUCUGAGCGCGCGUCGCUGUCAUCUGCCGCGUCUUCGUCACCCACACUGUGCGAUCUCGCCGACCGCCUCACCGAUAUGCGUCUCUCCAUACUGGUGCCGCCACGCGCCAAGCUUGGCUGCGGAAUAUGCAAGGGCCCCGACUGGAAGCCUGGUAUCUUUGUGCAAUUUGUGAGGGAAGCUGGAAUAGCGCGGGAGGCCGGCUUGCGGCCCGGUGAUCAGAUUUUGUCCUGCAAUGGUCAAGAUUUUGCCAAUAUCUCCUUCAAUGAGGCGAUAUCAGCAAUGAAAGUGAGUGGUCGCCUUGAGCUGGUGAUCCGCGAGGGCGCGGGCACGGAGCUGGUGUCUCCGGAGAGCUCGGGUUACAACAGCUCGGCGUCCUCCGCGGCCGGCGAGCGCAGCCCCGCCCCCGCGCCCGCACCUCUCCCCCUCGCCCUCGCCCCUCCCGCCGCGCUGCGUAGGAAGCUCGCCAGCGUCGCUGAGGAAGCCGCCGACAGAGCUGACAGAUUAACCAUGAACCGAAUAAAAAGAAGAACUUGGGACAGUCUAGAUUUCAAAUGGAAAAAUGACGAUACGCACAACUUCGACGCACCUUCUGAUAUAGAGCCCGACUAUGACAGUCCCAGUAUCCCGAACAAUCCACACUCGUACGAAAAGAAAACAAACUUGCGAAAAAAUAAAACAGAUUUCGAACCGGCGCGAGUGACGAGUCCAUUAAAUCGAACUAUUAUAAAUUUAACGGAAGAUGGCGCCACUAUUCAGUGUAGUUAUGAUAACAACCAGACGCCAAGGAAGAAUGUAUUUACGAAUGAAACGAAUAGAGAUAAAGAAAAGAAGACUAUAGUGGUUGAGGUGCAUCACGUGGCCCCCCCGGCGUGCGCCAACACGCACCUCAACUUCCCCCCACCGAUGAAGAAAGAAAUCAAUUCUGACACUUCAAGUAUAUCAAGUACGGCCACCUUAUCUAGCGCUAUCGCCGAGGAAAUACAAAGGCGGAAAAUGAACAAGAAACCGCCUGUUGAAAUCCCGCCUGUAUUAAACCAAGUUAAGAAACCGAUCGCACCGAAGCCAGUUGACGAUAAGAAGAAACAACAUGACGCGUUGAUGGACGAAUUCAAGAAAGUCCAUAGAAAAAUGUUCGCCAACCUAGAUGCGAAUGAUGCGACGCUAACGGAAGAUUGUACAGAUGGCGUGGAUCGCCAACCAACACUGCAGAUAAAGAAAGAAAAAAUCGAACCAGUUCUCCAAGAAGAACCUGUCUGCAAUGGGGUGAAGACGCAUAAAGAUGUCGUAGAUUGCCCGCCACCCCCACCCCCUAUGCCAAUAGCAAACGGUCAUCAAAACGGCGAAAGUAAAAAAGUUGAGAAUCUAAAACCAAAAUCUGAAAAAGUUGAUCACAUUAUUAAUUCAAACGUAAAAAAGGUCGGUACCCUCAAUCGCACGCCUACACCAGAUUAUAACAAUAAAGCAGACACACAAUUGCAGUACAAUUUGAAGAACAUCAAAGAAGAAAAUGCCGAGAUAGAGUCACUCGAAUCGUAUAAAUUAAAGAAUCCUCUGAAUGUACAACCAAAACCACCGCAUAAUUAUUUUGUGCGAGCCCCCAAUGGAACGGCGACUAUGAAAAAAAUCGCAAGACCCGUAUCAGUUACGAUAGGGGAAUACGUUAACAAUGUGGGAAGAAGAGAACCGUUAAAACUUGAUUUCCUCAACGGUGACAAAGUAGACGGCCAUUUAAUCCCAGACGAUGAAUCGAUAUCAAGUAGACUGCAAUCAGAAUUAGCGCUUACAUUGUCUAGAUCCAAUUUACGUAAGAAGACUGAAGCCCUCGAUAAAAAUGUCAAAAUGUCUGUAAAUAAGGUCGUACAUAAGAAAGAGAUUGUAUCUUUAGAUAAGAACUUUCACGUGAGAUACGGUAAUAAUAUUUUACCGCUGCCUCCGUCCAUCAGAAUACCAAAAGUCUCCAAAACUAAACAUUGAUCGAUUCGUGCAACAAUUCGUCCUGUUAUGCUUCUAGCUUCAUAACUUUAUGGAUGUAAUAUAACAUAUAAAGGGAAGUUUUCAAGCGACUAUUAAUGAAAUGCGGAUGCGGGGCGAUGACGUGCGUUUGCUUCAAAUAAUGUCGCAACUAUUUAUUAUUAGGCAAUUUUAGUGCUAG
Papilio machaon (common yellow swallowtail) is the source of this 2838-nucleotide RNA transcript. RefSeq lists it as uncharacterized. The record is from RefSeq and is a predicted model, not a curated record. Lineage: Eukaryota; Metazoa; Arthropoda; Insecta; Lepidoptera; Papilionidae. The transcript is spliced from 13 exons.